UACGUAGGGGGGCAAGCGUUGUCCGGAAUCAUUGGGCGUAAAGAGCUCGUAGGCGGUCUGUCGCGUCUGCUGUGAAAACUCAGGGCUUAACCCUGAGCUUGCAGUGGGUACGGGCAGACUAGAGUGCGGUAGGGGAGACUGGAAUUCCUGGUGUAGCGGUGAAAUGCGCAGAUAUCAGGAGGAACACCGGUGGCGAAGGCGGGUCUCUGGGCCGAUACUGACGCUGGAGGGAAGCGAAAGCGUGGGGAGCAAACAGG
Molecule: ribosomal RNA, 257 nt
Filed under: uncultured bacterium
Lineage: Bacteria
Description: partial 16S ribosomal RNA
Rfam family: Bacterial small subunit ribosomal RNA
Source: RNAcentral